CUGAGACACGGCCCAGACUCCUACGGGAGGCAGCAGUGGGGAAUAUUGCACAAUGGGGGAAACCCUGAUGCAGCAACGCCGCGUGAGUGAUGAAGGCCUUCGGGUCGUAAAGCUCUGUCUUCGGGGACGAUAAUGACGGUACCCGAGGAGGAAGCCACGGCUAACUACGUGCCAGCAGCCGCGGUAAUACGUAGGUGGCGAGCGUUGUCCGGAUUUACUGGGCGUAAAGGGAGCGUAGGCGGAUGCUUAAGUGGGAUGUGAAAUACCCGGGCUCAACCCGGGUGCUGCAUUCCAAACUGGGUAUCUAGAGUGUGGGAGAGGAGAGUGGAAUUCCUAGUGUAGCGGUGAAAUGCGUAGAGAUUAGGAAGAACACCAGUGGCGAAGGCGACUCUCU
RNAcentral lists this ribosomal RNA (394 nucleotides) under Clostridium algidicarnis. Its description in RNAcentral is "bacterial SSU rRNA". It matches the Rfam family "Bacterial small subunit ribosomal RNA", at positions 319 to 730 of the family's 1533-position model. Lineage: Bacteria; Bacillati; Bacillota; Clostridia; Eubacteriales; Clostridiaceae. The record is from RNAcentral.